RNAcentral lists this ribosomal RNA (468 nucleotides) under uncultured bacterium. RNAcentral describes it as "partial 16S ribosomal RNA". It matches the Rfam family "Bacterial small subunit ribosomal RNA", at positions 28 to 507 of the family's 1533-position model. The record is from RNAcentral.
GACGAACGCUGGCGGCGUGCUUAACACAUGCAAGUCGAACGGAAAGGCCCUGCUUUUGUGGGGUGCUCGAGUGGCGAACGGGUGAGUAACACGUGAGUAACCUGCCCUUGACUUUGGGAUAACUUCAGGAAACUGGGGCUAAUAUCGGAUAGGAGCUCCUGCUGCAUGGUGGGGGUUGGAAAGUUUCGGCGUUUGGGGAUGGAUUCGCGGCUUAUCAGCUGGUUGGGGGGGUAGUGGCGUACCAAGGCUUUGACGGGUAGCCGACCUGGGAGGGUGACCGGCGACAUUGGGACUGAGAUACGGCCCAGACUCCUACGGGAGGCAGCAGUGGGGAAUAUUACACAAUGGGCGGAAGCCUGAUGCAGCAACGCCGCGUGCGGGAUGACGGCCUUCGGGUUGUAAACCGCUUUCGCCUGUGACGAAGCGUGAGUGACGGUAAUGGGUAAAGAAGCACCGGCUAACUACGUG